UACGGGGGGAGCAAGCGUUGUUCGGAUUUACUGGGCGUAAAGGGCGCGUAGGCGGCCACUGCAAGUCGGUUGUGAAAUCUCCGGGCUUAACCCGGAAAGGUCAACCGAUACUGCAGGGCUAGAGUGCAGAAGGGGCAACUGGAAUUCUCGGUGUAGCGGUGAAAUGCGUAGAUAUCGAGAGGAACACCUGCGGCGAAGGCGGGUUGCUGGGCUGACACUGACGCUGAAGCGCGAAAGCUAGGGGAGCAAACAGG
RNAcentral lists this ribosomal RNA (254 nucleotides) under uncultured bacterium. RNAcentral's name for it is "partial 16S ribosomal RNA". It matches the Rfam family "Bacterial small subunit ribosomal RNA", at positions 524 to 776 of the family's 1533-position model. The record is from RNAcentral.